UCCUGCUGCCAGACCUCGGCCCUGGCUCCGCCCCUCUUGCGCCCGAGUCCUGGGCAGAAGUAGCUCCCCUCUUCAGCACGCGCCACCUCCUGUGGCCGCCUCGGCGCCAGGCCCUGGGUCUCGCCUGAGGGCGCCGGGGUCCCGCGGCGCAACCGGCCCCGUCUCGCUGGCAGUCCGCCGCCUCCUAGGGCGAGAGGUUGCCAGCCUAAGCCUGCAGCGCGCAGAGGCCAGACCCUUCCCCGGGACCCGCGCGCUGUGCUACCCAGGGAUCCCCACUGCUGGGAACACGAGGCUUUUCUAGUUUACGGCGUGACCCGCUUGGAGGAAUUGCGGUGCCGAGACCCCUUAGGGACAGGGUGUCUAUUCCCUACUUAAAGGGGCGAAGACUCCGGUUCAGCCCACUGUGCCAGACCUUCGGAGGAAUCCUUAUGCAAAUGAGCGUUUUAACAAUCCAGAUGACGGAUGCGGUCAGGAUAGGCGGCAGGGGUCCGGCCCCCCACCAGUUGGAGAGCCAAGCUAAGGGGAGGUCGGAAUGUUUGCUUACCUUUUCACCUCUGAGGAAGUCGUGGCUUUAACUCUGUUCACGGCCAACCUGGCAGAGCGAGCUGUGGGAACGUUUAAAGCCUAAGAUUGUAGGAGCUGGCAAGGCUCCAUUUAAUCCAGGGCCCUCAUUUUACAGACGGAGAAACUGAGGCUCAGAGGAAGGUCACCCAGGUGGGCCUGGAUGCCAGUUCCCGGUAUGGUGGCGCCGAAAUUGUGUCAUUUCUACUAGUCUGUGCUUUGCAAUUUAAGGUCGUCCUCUGAUUAUUAAAAUGCGGAAACUGAGGCCGAGUGAGGAGCACAGCUUGCUUGGUAAAGCUUUUCCUGGGAGGCGGCAUAUGCUCUGCCGAGGAAGAGGAGCUGCCUAGAAAUGAGAGGAAGCACAACGAGAUUCAUCCCUGUCUUCCCAGCAUCCGGAGGGGGCUCCAGGAAGGUUGCGGGGUCCAGGUAGCCCCUUCCACACAAGUCCCAGUCGUGCUGACACGCAAGCCUGUCCGGGGUGUCGCUAAGCCAGCUCUGUUGUUCCCUCCACCUCAGAUGAGUCCAAUGUGCAGCCAAGUUUGAAAACCACUGGACUAGAGCAAGGGCUCUUAAAGUGAGGUCCCAGGACCAGAGCAUCAGCUUCACCUGAGAACCUGAGGCCAGUGUAAUGGAUUCUGAGAAGUGGAGAUUAGGCGGGAGGAAGGGAGGAGAACAAAUGUGGACACAGAACACAAGAGGACGCUGUGCUGGCCACUGUGCUCCAGGCUUCGUCGUCCCACAGAAGCGCAUAUGGUGGGCACUAACACCUAUCUUCCAGCUGAGGACGUGAGGGCUCAGAGGUCACACAGCUAAUAAGAGCUGGACUCAGGUAUGUUCAAUGUAAAGGCCUCCUUUCUUUCCUUGGGUUUUUUGUUUGUUUGUUUGUUUGUUUUGGA
Delphinapterus leucas (beluga whale) is the source of this 1457-nucleotide non-coding RNA. The record is from RefSeq and is a predicted model, not a curated record. Lineage: Eukaryota; Metazoa; Chordata; Mammalia; Artiodactyla; Monodontidae.